RNAcentral lists this ribosomal RNA (1618 nucleotides) under Salmonella enterica. RNAcentral describes it as "partial 23S ribosomal RNA". The record is from RNAcentral. Lineage: Bacteria; Pseudomonadati; Pseudomonadota; Gammaproteobacteria; Enterobacterales; Enterobacteriaceae.
GUUGGGUAGGGGAGCGUUCUGUAAGCCUGUGAAGGUGGCCUGUGAGGGUUGCUGGAGGUAUCAGAAGUGCGAAUGCUGACAUAAGUAACGAUAAAGCGGGUGAAAAGCCCGCUCGCCGGAAGACCAAGGGUUCCUGUCCAACGUUAAUCGGGGCAGGGUGAGUCGACCCCUAAGGCGAGGCCGAAAGGCGUAGUCGAUGGGAAACGGGUUAAUAUUCCCGUACUUGGUGUUACUGCGAAGGGGGGACGGAGAAGGCUAUGUUGGCCGGGCGACGGUUGUCCCGGUUUAAGCGUGUAGGUGUGUGUUCCAGGUAAAUCCGGUUCACUUUAACACUGAGGCGUGAYGACGAGGCACUACGGUGCUGAAGCAACAAAUGCCCUGCUUCCAGGAAAAGCCUCUAAGCAUCAGGUAACAUCAAAUCGUACCCCAAACCGACACAGGUGGUCAGGUAGAGAAUACCAAGGCGCUUGAGAGAACUCGGGUGAAGGAACUAGGCAAAAUGGUGCCGUAACUUCGGGAGAAGGCACGCUGACACGUAGGUGAAGUGAUUUACUCAUGGAGCUGAAGUCAGUCGAAGAUACCAGCUGGCUGCAACUGUUUAUUAAAAACACAGCACUGUGCAAACACGAAAGUGGACGUAUACGGUGUGACGCCUGCCCGGUGCCGGAAGGUUAAUUGAUGGGGUCAGCGCAAGCGAAGCUCCUGAUCGAAGCCCCGGUAAACGGCGGCCGUAACUAUAACGGUCCUAAGGUAGCGAAAUUCCUUGUCGGGUAAGUUCCGACCUGCACGAAUGGCGUAAUGAUGGCCAGGCUGUCUCCACCCGAGACUCAGUGAAAUUGAACUCGCUGUGAAGAUGCAGUGUACCCGCGGCAAGACGGAAAGACCCCGUGAACCUUUACUAUAGCUUGACACUGAACAUUGAGCCUUGAUGUGUAGGAUAGGUGGGAGGCUUUGAAGUGUGGACGCCAGUCUGCAUGGAGCCGRCCUUGAAAUACCACCCUUUAAUGUUUGAUGUUCUAACGUGGACCCGURAUCCGGGUUGCGGACAGUGUCUGGUGGGUAGUUUGACUGGGGCGGUCUCCUCCUAAAGAGUAACGGAGGAGCACGAAGGUUGGCUAAUCCUGGUCGGACAUCAGGAGGUUAGUGCAAUGGCAUAAGCCAGCUUGACUGCGAGCGUGACGGCGCGAGCAGGUGCGAAAGCAGGUCAUAGUGAUCCGGUGGUUCUGAAUGGAAGGGCCAUCGCUCAACGGAUAAAAGGUACUCCGGGGAUAACAGGCUGAUACCGCCCAAGAGUUCAUAUCGACGGCGGUGUUUGGCACCUCGAUGUCGGCUCAUCACAUCCUGGGGCUGAAGUAGGUCCCAAGGGUAUGGCUGUUCGCCAUUUAAAGUGGUACGCGAGCUGGGUUUAGAACGUCGUGAGACAGUUCGGUCCCUAUCUGCCGUGGGCGCUGGAGAACUGAGGGGGGCUGCUCCUAGUACGAGAGGACCGGAGUGGACGCAUCACUGGUGUUCGGGUUGUCAUGCCAAUGGCACUGCCCGGUAGCUAAAUGCGGAAGAGAUAAGUGCUGAAAGCAUCUAAGCACGAAACUUGCCCCGAGAUGAGUUCUCCCUGAGACUU